RNAcentral lists this unclassified non-coding RNA (372 nucleotides) under fungal sp. RNAcentral describes it as "partial internal transcribed spacer region". The stretch from base 1 to 46 matches the Rfam family "Eukaryotic small subunit ribosomal RNA", at positions 1786 to 1831 of the family's 1831-position model. The record is from RNAcentral. Lineage: Eukaryota; Fungi.
AAGUCGUAACAAGGUUUCCGUAGGUGAACCUGCGGAAGGAUCAUUAACACGUAUCCACGUUAACCAAUGUGAACUGUUUUCGCCCUCCCUUUGCUGCAAAUGAGUUGGAAUUUGUAAUAGCGUUGAUGUGGAGUUCUAACGGACUCAACUAUUACAAACUACUUCGGCUUGCCGAGACAACUGGAUUGCACUGAAGGCUUUUUCUCGUCACUUUGAUUUCCAUCAUAAUCGUGGCGGCGGGAUACUUAUUUACCAUUUUCACCCUUUUUUGCUAGUUGACUUUUUUAUGUUGUUCUUUACGCAAGUAAGGUUCACACGUUUAUUAAUUGAACGUUAAAAAUACAACUCUUAGCAAUGGAUGUCUUGGUUCUC